GGCUACGAGGACGAACGCUGGCGGCGUGCCUAACACAUGCAAGUCGAGCGAGUGAAUCUCCUUGGGAGUGAAACUAGCGGCGGACGGGUGAGUAACACGUGGGCAACCUGCCUCAUAGAGGGGAAUAGCCUUUCGAAAGGAAGAUUAAUACCGCAUAAGAUUGUAGCUUCGCAUGAAGUAGCAAUUAAAGGAGUAAUCCGCUAUGAGAUGGGCCCGCGGCGCAUUAGCUAGUUGGUGAGGUAACGGCUCACCAAGGCGACGAUGCGUAGCCGACCUGAGAGGGUGAUCGGCCACAUUGGGACUGAGACACGGCCCAGACUCCUACGGGAGGCAGCAGUGGGGAAUAUUGCACAAUGGGGGAAACCCUGAUGCAGCAACGCCGCGUGAGUGAUGACGGCCUUCGGGUUGUAAAGCUCUGUCUUCAGGGACGAUAAUGACGGUACCUGAGGAGGAAGCCACGGCUAACUACGUG
Molecule: ribosomal RNA, 472 nt
Filed under: uncultured bacterium
Lineage: Bacteria
Description: bacterial SSU rRNA
Rfam family: Bacterial small subunit ribosomal RNA
Source: RNAcentral